ACUCCCUUAGUCUAGAGGAUAGGCAUCGGUCUUCUAAACCGAUAGACGUAGGUUCGAAUCCUACAGGGAGUA
RNAcentral lists this transfer RNA (72 nucleotides) under Providencia phage PSTCR5. It matches the Rfam family "tRNA". Rfam says of the family: Transfer RNA (tRNA) molecules are approximately 80 nucleotides in length. Their secondary structure includes four short double-helical elements and three loops (D, anti-codon, and T loops). Further hydrogen bonds mediate the characteristic L-shaped molecular structure. tRNAs have two regions of fundamental functional importance: the anti-codon, which is responsible for specific mRNA codon recognition, and the 3' end, to which the tRNAs corresponding amino acid is attached (by aminoacyl-tRNA synthetases). tRNAs cope with the degeneracy of the genetic code in two manners: having more than one tRNA (with a specific anti-codon) for a particular amino acid; and 'wobble' base-pairing, i.e. permitting non-standard base-pairing at the 3rd anti-codon position. The record is from Rfam by way of RNAcentral. Lineage: Duplodnaviria; Heunggongvirae; Uroviricota; Caudoviricetes; Demerecviridae.